GAUGAACGCUGGCGGCGUGCCUAAUACAUGCAAGUCGAGCGAACGGACGCGAAGCUUGCUUCUCUGAUGUUAGCGGCGUACGGGUGAGUAACACGUGGAUCACCUACCUAUAAGACUCGGAUAACUUCGGGAAACCGUAGCUAAUACCGGAUAAUAUUUUGAACCGCAUGGUUCAAAAGUUAAAGACGGUCUUGCUGUCACUUAUAGAUGGAUCCGCGCUGCAUUAGCUAGUUGGUAAGGUAACGGCUUACCAAGGCAACGAUGCAUAGCCGACCUGAGAGGGUGAUCGGCCACACUGGAACUGAGACACGGUCCAGACUCCUACGGGAGGCAGCAGUAGGGAAUCUUCCGCAAUGGGCGAAAGCCUGACGGAGCAACGCCGCGUGAGUGAUGAAGGUCUUCGGAUCGUAAAACUCUGUUAUUAGGGAAGAACAUAUGUGUAAGUAACUGUGCACAUCUUGACGGUACCUAAUCAGAAAGCCACGGCUAACUACGUG
This 497-nucleotide ribosomal RNA is filed under the name uncultured bacterium. RNAcentral describes it as "partial 16S ribosomal RNA". It matches the Rfam family "Bacterial small subunit ribosomal RNA", at positions 28 to 507 of the family's 1533-position model. The record is from RNAcentral.